GGAUCCAGGGCAGGGCCUUCUACAUACUAGGCAAGUGCUCUACCACUGAGCCACAUUCCCAGGCCAGAAAUCAAUUGCCAAAUACUUCCAACAUGCCAGAGCAAGGAAAGAAACGGAGUCCACUAGGCUGCACUCUCCAAGUCAGAUCAAGGAGCAGCCAUGCCCUUCCAACUCAGGACUGAGGCAGAGACAGAGAGACAGAGACAGAGAUAUUUGAACUCUGAUGAUAUGGGUAUUCUCCCCCUCAUGUCAACCAUCAGACAAAUGCUUUUAGUAAGCAGGGUCCUGCAGACGGUGUCCAUCUGUCUGAGAGAGCAUUUGACUCACUCGGGGAGGAAGUGCUGCUGCGGAAGCGCCAUUUGGAGGACAGUUGAGGAACUCAAGUCAAAAUUGACCAAUAAAGGCCAGAGCUUGAACAGAGAGCCGCUCAAAAGAAUGCAGACGAAUUUGAGAUGUUAGUUGAAAGAAAGCAGACCUGCCUGUAAGAGCAUACUGUGUGCGGCUGACAGCCUGUUGGGAGGUUCAAGUGCACG
RNAcentral lists this long non-coding RNA (533 nucleotides) under Cricetulus griseus (Chinese hamster). RNAcentral describes it as "lncRNA (ENSCGRG00015037936.1)". Lineage: Eukaryota; Metazoa; Chordata; Mammalia; Rodentia; Cricetidae. The record is from RNAcentral.